UACGGAGGGUGCAAGCGUUAUCCGGAAUCAUUGGGUAUAAAGCGUGCGUAGGUGGGAUAAUAAGUCAGUGGUGAAAGCCUGCGGCUCAACCGUAGAAUUGCCAUUGAUACUGUUGUUCUUGAGUGUUUAUGAAGUGGUUAGAAUAUGUAGUGUAGCGGUGAAAUGCAUAGAUAUUACAUAGAAUACCGAUUGCGAAGGCAGAUCACUAAUAAAAUACUGACGCUGAUGGACGAAAGCGUAGGUAGCGAACAGG
This 253-nucleotide unclassified non-coding RNA is filed under the name uncultured Flavobacteriaceae bacterium. Its description in RNAcentral is "contains 16S-23S intergenic spacer region". It matches the Rfam family "Bacterial small subunit ribosomal RNA", at positions 524 to 776 of the family's 1533-position model. The record is from RNAcentral. Lineage: Bacteria; Pseudomonadati; Bacteroidota; Flavobacteriia; Flavobacteriales; Flavobacteriaceae.